AGCCUUGUGGUGAACUAUCACAUUGAAUUGCAAAUUCGAAGAAGCAGCUUCAACGCUGCCGGGGCUUC
Molecule: transfer RNA, 68 nt
Filed under: Crocuta crocuta (spotted hyena)
Lineage: Eukaryota; Metazoa; Chordata; Mammalia; Carnivora; Hyaenidae
Description: tRNA-Cys
Rfam family: tRNA
About the family: Transfer RNA (tRNA) molecules are approximately 80 nucleotides in length. Their secondary structure includes four short double-helical elements and three loops (D, anti-codon, and T loops). Further hydrogen bonds mediate the characteristic L-shaped molecular structure. tRNAs have two regions of fundamental functional importance: the anti-codon, which is responsible for specific mRNA codon recognition, and the 3' end, to which the tRNAs corresponding amino acid is attached (by aminoacyl-tRNA synthetases). tRNAs cope with the degeneracy of the genetic code in two manners: having more than one tRNA (with a specific anti-codon) for a particular amino acid; and 'wobble' base-pairing, i.e. permitting non-standard base-pairing at the 3rd anti-codon position.
Source: RNAcentral